ACCAGCUCAUUCUUGUCAUGUUGUCGUAACCGUAUUACCUCAGACAUACCUCCAAAAUUGUGCUUGUCUUUCCGAGUGGUGGUCUCGGUCUGGUUUUGUAUUUUCAAAUGUGGUCAAGUAACUCAGUGUGUCACCUCUCUGCAUGACUCGAAUGGGAUUCUGGGAAGAUUCCCUACCUGUUAUAUGCGAUGAGAUCACAGAUCACAGGAGUGUGUGUGACAGGGAUCCUUUGAUCAUUGUAUCAGUGGGGAAGAUCACAUUUGCAUCAUGAUGGAAUGUUUUAAUUCUGUUUUAAUUUUACAACUGUACUAAUUCUAAUUAACCAACUACUGGAUCAUGCCAACAUUUUGAGCAGAGCCCACCAAACUGAACGCCUCCAGUAGUCACACCAUUCAAUAACAAGAAACCAUUCAAAAUACUGGAGGAGCGAACCUGUCCCUUUGGAGCUUCUGCUGGGUGCAGCGUGUUCAGUGGGUGAUGCUGUGGAUUUUGCAGCUCACGCUACCAGAGGGGCUGCGCCUCCGUUGCUGGUAAUGCUGCAGUGCGCGACCCAAAGCAUAGGAGAGGUCCAUCCUAUUGUGCCAGUCCCCAGGCACCCAGCAACGAAGCUACUCAUCACAGACAUGGUUGAACGUCUGCUGCAUCCAGACACAGAGCGUGUGUAUGCAGAACUACGAAGGCAGUACUGGAUUUUGCGAGGUUGUCAGGCUGUCGGACACCACCAGCUCAACUGUCCCUCCGGCCAGCGAUGGAGAUUUCAACCUAAGGUCCCUCAGAUGGCAGACUUGCCACCGCAGCACCUCAGACUUCCUUGUCCAACCCUUCUAUUCAACAGGUGUUGAUUGUUUCAGGUCUUACCUGGUCAAGAUAGGAAGGAAGACUGAGAAGCGUUGGGGCGCCUUCUUCAAGUGCCUCACAGCCCACGGUGUCAGCAUUCAUCUAGAAAGAGGCAUAUACUGUGACAAUAGCUACAAUACGAGUUAUAGAAAUAUUCAGUCCUCAUGUAUAGUCCUUAAGUGGCUUUUAUUAAUGCUGGUUAAUGCUAAUUGAGGCAUAGUAAUGACUCAGACAUUUUU
This is a long non-coding RNA of Scophthalmus maximus (turbot), 1076 nucleotides long. RefSeq lists it as uncharacterized. Lineage: Eukaryota; Metazoa; Chordata; Actinopteri; Pleuronectiformes; Scophthalmidae. The record is from RefSeq and is a predicted model, not a curated record. The transcript has 2 exons.